AACGAACGCUGGCGGCGUGCUUAACACAUGCAAGUCGAACGCGAAAGGGACUUCGGUCCCGAGUAGAGUGGCGCACGGGUGAGUAACGCGUAAGUAAUCUACCCCCGCAUUCGGAAUAACUCGUCGAAAGGUGAGCUAAUACCGGAUACGUUUAUCUUGAUGCGAAUGAUGAUAGAGAAAGGUGGCCUCCUCAUGAAAGCUACUGUGCAGGGAUGAGCUUGCGUACCAUUAGCUAGUUGGUAGGGUAAUGGCCUACCAAGGCGACGAUGGUUAGCGGGUCUGAGAGGAUGAUCCGCCACACUGGAACUGGAACACGGACCAGACUCCUACGGGAGGCAGCAGUGAGGAAUAUUGCGCAAUGGGGGCAACCCUGACGUAGCGACGCCGCGUGGAUGAUGAAGGCCCUUGGGUCGUAAAAUCCUGUCAGAUGGAAAGAAAUGUAUGGGUGUUAAUAUCGCCUGUAUUUGACGGUACCAUCAAAGGAAGCACCGGCUAACUCCGUGCCAGCCGCCGCAGUAA
RNAcentral lists this ribosomal RNA (519 nucleotides) under uncultured bacterium. RNAcentral's name for it is "partial 16S ribosomal RNA". It matches the Rfam family "Bacterial small subunit ribosomal RNA", at positions 29 to 523 of the family's 1533-position model. The record is from RNAcentral.